UUAAGCUAAAGACUGUAAAACUUUGCAUUGAUUUGUAAAGAUUAGAGAUUAAUUGAUUGCUUAAAGAAGUAAUUUGUUCACAUAUUAUUUAAGAAAUUAUUUUAUUUUAUUUAUUUGUAUCCUGCCUUUAUUAUUUCUACAAAUAAUGCAAGGUCGAGAACAUAUUCAUCAUACUUUCCUCCUCUAGAUUGUGAGAAUCACGAAAUUGGAAGCGACCUCAGUGAUUACCUAUUCUAGUCCAAGUCCUCUGAGCAUUUCUGACAGAUGACUGUCCAGCCUGUUUCAAGUGACUCAAUCAGAUCCCGCCCUAAUUCACUGAACUAAGAAAGAAGCAAAGAUUUCAUACUAGUUAAAAGAAGGAGACAGCCCCAAUUAUAUGGAUUGCAGACUGAAAAGACAAGACACACAAAAGAAAGGAAAUUGAGGAAGCAACUCAGUUCUUCAAGACAGCUUGAGGCUUUGAUAUUUAUAUAUAGAUUGUGCUUAAAAAAUAAUUGCUGAGUUAUCUGUUAACUGUCAUGUGCUUGUCAUAGGAAUAUUCUUUGAAAAGGGAGAGCAGAAUGAAGUACCAAGUAGGAUUUAACAUCAGAAAUGAAUCAUGUUAACCUGAUCUAAAGUCAGGUUGGGCAGCCCACAAAAUGUUUAUUGAAAUGUACAAGCUACUGUAUUUUUACAACUGAAAGUAAUGAACAUAAUGAUUCAUCUUAUUAUUUUCUCUACAAUAAUAAUGCUGUGAAGUGGGUUGGGCUGAAGGACAAUGAUGGCCCAAUGUCAGCCAAAAAGGACUAGAGCUCAUAGUCUCUUCGUUUCUAUUUAACACUUUAACACAGGAUUUCCCAACCUUAGCAGUAUUAAGAUGUGUUUCCCCAGCCAACACCAUUGCCCUAACCACUAUGCCAAACUGGUUCUCAGUUGCAUUAAUGCUGUAGUGGUGCUUCCUAUAGUUGAAAAUCAAAAGUUUUUAGAAAAGCGAAUUCACUUGAAAAGAAAUUUUCAGAUGGAUGGUCUACUCCAGAGUAGAUGGUUCUUUCCAAAUGGUCUGGGUUCAGCUAGUUUGCAAAACCUACUUUGCAGACCCUAAUGACCUUCAAGCCAUUUCUUUUUUCCCUGAAAAUUUUUACUCUUUUCUUAGGUUUGCUCACCAAAUAGCUGCCACUGGAAAGAAGGUUGCUCUUAUCACCCAAUGGGUAACUUAUAGAAGUUUUAAGUUCUAGUUGCCAUUUUAUUGUUUUUAUAUUAAUUAUUUUGGGAUUUUAUCCUUUGUAUACUGCCCAGAGUCACAAAGAUUUUGUCAGGUGGCCAUAUAAAUACAAAAAUAAAUCAAUACAUCUUUCUCAAGUCUUAGAUUAGGUCUAACAUUUUAAGCAUCUAUUCUACUGGGAAUGCCUUGAUUGAUUUUGAUCCUAGACCACUUACAAUUUUAGUAAAGCCUGCAAGCCAGGAAGUAUUUUUUUUAUUGUAUGUCAAGAUAGAAAUGCUAAUAUCUUUUGUGAUUUUAAAAAGUUAGUUUUCCUUUAUUGAAAAAUAAAUUUCUUCCAAAAAUUUUGGAAAAGAAAUGGUGAACUAAAGAUGGUUCCACUUUUACAAGUGUAGCAUGUACACUAAAAUAAUGCCUCUCUAGACAAGGAGAGCAUUUGAGAUUGCCUACAAGUUCUCCAUACAGUUGCUUCUCAUGAGGAGACUGCAAGGCAGCAGUCUGCAAUAGUUUAGAGCUCUGGGAAACAAAGGAAUAACUAUUUUGCUCAAUCCAUGGUUGACACCUUCAAAAGAACACUAGAUUUACACACUUUCUUUUCUAAACCUUUCGGAAAUUGCUUGUUAGACUUCUGGUAUUCUGUCACGGUGAGACGGGAUGCAGGAAGGCAGAGCUCUGCCUCCUGAGCCCAAUUUUGCCCUGUUGAGGGCCCUGGAAAGGGCCUAAAGUUGCCCCGAAGAGGCAAUGAAGGCGGGGUGCCUUGUCGAUCAUGAAGAGACGGUGGUCUCUCUGUUCGAUCCAAGGAAAGCCCUCUAAACCAGCAAGGAAAAGACCAGCCACACCUCUGCGGCCGGCGAUUAGCUGCUGACAACCGAACAACAAAAGCUUUAAUUAGCACACUGAAAGCAGCAUGUUUGGACUGGGUCAGAAUAUUGAUCUUUUCUUUACUAUUUUACAACUGAAUUUCCUGGAAAGGCUCCCAAGAAGCUUAAAACUUCCAGAUGUAAAUGGAAGCGGCAUUUAAAUUUGUUUAUAGGGGACAGAAAUACACAAUACUGAAGUGAAAGUAAUACAAAGCUACAGUUUUGAUAAA
Long non-coding RNA from Crotalus tigris (Tiger rattlesnake), 2288 nucleotides. RefSeq lists it as uncharacterized. The record is from RefSeq and is a predicted model, not a curated record. NCBI's taxonomy places the organism in Eukaryota, Metazoa, Chordata, Lepidosauria, Squamata, Viperidae. The transcript has 3 exons.